This 77-nucleotide transfer RNA is filed under the name Garciella nitratireducens DSM 15102. Its description in RNAcentral is "tRNA_Arg_TCG". It matches the Rfam family "tRNA". From Rfam's summary of the family: Transfer RNA (tRNA) molecules are approximately 80 nucleotides in length. Their secondary structure includes four short double-helical elements and three loops (D, anti-codon, and T loops). Further hydrogen bonds mediate the characteristic L-shaped molecular structure. tRNAs have two regions of fundamental functional importance: the anti-codon, which is responsible for specific mRNA codon recognition, and the 3' end, to which the tRNAs corresponding amino acid is attached (by aminoacyl-tRNA synthetases). tRNAs cope with the degeneracy of the genetic code in two manners: having more than one tRNA (with a specific anti-codon) for a particular amino acid; and 'wobble' base-pairing, i.e. permitting non-standard base-pairing at the 3rd anti-codon position. Lineage: Bacteria; Bacillati; Bacillota; Clostridia; Eubacteriales; Eubacteriaceae. The record is from RNAcentral.
GCGCCUAUAGCUCAGCUGGAUAGAGUGGCAGACUUCGAAUCUGAAGGUCGGGGGUUCGAAUCCCUCUAGGCGCACCA